AUAAUUAUGGAGUAAAUACGUCUGACAUGGUGCGGGCGGGAGGUGGGGCCGCAGACGUCAGGACAAUGCCAUUAUAGUCCCUCUGGGGAAAACCCAAUUCAAAUACGCUCAGAUUGAGGUGCCCCGAAUGUCUAGACGAUCCUUCUUUUGUGGCCCAGACACCUUUUCUCUGCCUCCCCCCCAUCCCGUCUGAAUGCGUGAGCUUGACCUGUGCUUGACCUGCGCUGUCCCAGCCGCCUCUCCGUGGGAACGGUGGGAGAGUUCAGCCUGGGAGCAGCCUGGCUGCGGGUCCCGUAUUAAGGCAGAGCCGCAAGGUUUCUGCUCAGCGAUGAUCCAGCGCAAGGCAAUGAAAUAAUACCUUUAACUCAAGUGUUCUCUCUGCUCUUUUCUGUUUCUUUCGCCUUCAUUGUCCCUCCUCGUGCAGAUCAGUCCUGUCAUGCUUUAUUUUUAUUUGUUUCAUGUCAUGAAACUGAACACCCUGAAUUAUUGAUUAAAAGUUUUUUUAGCUAAUAAAACCAGACAAAAUAUUACAUGUGCUUUGUUUACUAGAAGAAAAGCAAAACUGAUUGACCUAAAAUUCUACAUAAAGAUUAUCACGCAAAAUCCAGCCUCUGCUUAACCACAAUCCUAUUUAAAUUAUCCAAAGAGAUGAAUGAACAAUAAUUAGCUAAUGAAGUGCAGUGUAAUUGAUAGAAAUGUACUGAUAAAAACAUUUACGCUUGUCCAUUUAUUCCCAUGCAAAGAAUUCAAGUACUUUUCGCCAGAAUGACAUAUGAAAUAUGAAUGUAUGAAAAUAUAGUUCAGAACUUUCAAUUUACAGUACGAACUUUCAAACAUACGAACGAAGAGGACUGUAAAUCCUAAUUGUGAUCCUUUGGCUCCUGUUUCCUCUCCACAAUAUCAAUGUUUUUUUUCACCGCGCAAAUUCCGCCUAGUACGACUUCUGGCCACUACUCCCCCUGCACAGCAGUGUAGCGUGUGAACUCCCAGCAUACUAGUUCUUUGUACUCGCGUAAACCCUUAAAAUGAUGUUGAAUAACGACUUACGAACAUUUCAAGUUACGAACAGCCGUUCGGAACGUAUCUCAUUCGUAAGUAGAGGAGCGUCUGUAUUUGGUGCUACAAGUAAAAGGGGAAGGUCAUAGAAAAUGCCCCGUUGUUUCUUAUGUAGCACUACAAAGCACUACAGGAGCUCCCGUUAAAUAAACAAUACCAUGAAAUAGCAUGAACAGAGCACAUUUUUAAGAACUUGGGUCAGGAAAGGUGCUUUUUGAACACAGGGGGCAAAGUGAAUUUUGAAGAGGUACGAUUUGAGCCCUGCCUGGGAGGCGUUUUCCAGAACAGGGUAUAACCUACAGUUUAGUCCAUCCAGGAGGUCCAUCCAGCCCAAAGAGGCCAAAAGCGGAAUGAAAUAAGAACUCCAAUUAUGAAAAUGUCUAAUCAGCUUCAGCAUCACAAUUUAAACCGUAAAUGGUCCCAUUAGCAUGAAAGGUUUGUGUGGAGAUAUUUAACGUCUGCAGUUUAUGGGUGGAGUCAGAAGCACACGAAUUUGGAAUAAACCUAGAUGAAUUUGGAGUGACGUUGUGGAGGUAUCAGCGGUUUUAAACUGCAGUUUUACCUGAACACGGCGACACCUCCCUUGACCUGCGGCGCGUCGGUGCCAGGCUGGCAGACUGUUGGCUCGCGUGGGCCGUGUUCACAGCAACUGUGUUCAGAGCAGCCACCCGGAACUGUUUUUUUCACCUCGGCUAGUGGAAAGCAGCGAGCAGAGGCACCUGUAUAACCUAGAUAGGGUGCGACUGCAGCGCUGCGGGGCGUGUGCUAAUUGAAAGGCAGGAAGUGAUGUCUGUGCCGCUGCAGGGCUCUCUGGGAGAACAAAGGAGGCAGCGAAGCAGAUCCGGUGGAAAGGGAGAAAUUAGAAACUCAGGCAAGCAGCUGCACAGUCUGAUGUCGAAAACGCAAAGGCUGAAGAGCAGCUUUUAUCUUCAGACCAUCAGGAUGCUGAACUCUCACAUGCCAACAAACAUCCUUCCUAAAAGUCAAGGAGGUUCCAUCCAAACCUAAAAGUCAAGCACACCCGACUUACUGCAUGGUCACUUUAUAUUUAAGUCAUUUUAUAUAUAUUAUAUUUAUAUCAUAUUUAAGUUAAUUACAUUUUCUUUCCUGGUAACAUCAUUUUACUGUAUCGUGUGUUGCUUUGCAGCUGGCUAGCUUUGUAUUUUACUACACAUUGUCCAUGUAUAACUGUGUAUGUGCAAAUAAAUUAUUGAACUUGAAAGUG
Long non-coding RNA from Brienomyrus brachyistius, 2281 nucleotides. RefSeq lists it as uncharacterized. The record is from RefSeq and is a predicted model, not a curated record. The transcript has 2 exons. NCBI's taxonomy places the organism in Eukaryota, Metazoa, Chordata, Actinopteri, Osteoglossiformes, Mormyridae.